Molecule: ribosomal RNA, 467 nt
Filed under: uncultured bacterium
Lineage: Bacteria
Description: partial 16S ribosomal RNA
Rfam family: Bacterial small subunit ribosomal RNA
Source: RNAcentral
GACGAACGCUGGCGGCGUGCUUAACACAUGCAAGUCGAACGGAAAGGCCCUGCUUUUGUGGGGUGCUCGAGUGGCGAACGGGUGAGUAACACGUGAGUAACCUGCCCUUGACUUUGGGAUAACUUCAGGAAACUGGGGCUAAUACCGGAUAGGAGCUCCUGCUGCAUGGUGGGGGUUGGAAAGUUUCGGCGGUUGGGGAUGGACUCGCGGCUUAUCAGCUUGUUGGUGGGGUAGUGGCUUACCAAGGCUUUGACGGGUAGCCGGCCUGAGAGGGUGACCGGCCACUUUGGGCCUGAGAUCCGCCCCGGACUCCUACGGGGGGCAGCGGUGGGGAUUAUUGCACAAUGGGCGGAGCCCUGAGGCAGCAACGCCGCGUGGGGGAUGACGGCCUUCGGGUUGUAACCGCUUUCGCCUGUGACGAAGCGUGAGUGACGGUAAUGGGUAAAGAAGCACCGGCUAACUACGUG